UAGUUUUUGUGAAUGACUGAUUACAAAAUGCAUUUUUAAAAAAGUUGGCAAAUGCUGAAAUGCACUGUGGUAUGAAGCGCAUUGCAUAUCUUUAGCAUUGAAGUAUCAGUUUCCAUUCCUGGGCUGAGAUUUUUUUCCUGUGGUUGUAUUGUUCUGAUUUCACAUACACCAGAAAAACUGAUUUUUUGUUUUCUUGUGGAGUUAACACCAAAUAAAAAUUUAAAAAACCAGAAAUCACAUCAAGGCUUGCAACUCAUACACAUACAACUUUAACUGUCACCUAUACCUAAAUAAAGCUGGAGAAGAUCAGAUGUAGACUAUUCAGAGUUGAAACAUUGAAAAAUUGAGGUAUCUUAGGCAUCAGAAGAGGGUGAGUCACAUUCAGACCUUAAACUGUAUAUGAGCUCUGGAUGACAUGUGGUCCAUGGGGCCAAACACAACUUGCUUUCUCAAGGAACAACAAGCAUGGAGACCCAGGAAGCCUCAUGCACCUGUUGUUCCAGUGCUAGACUGGGGCUAAAAGGGCAUCAGUGCCUUGAUGCUGAGGUUUACCUAGAUAGGACUUCUAUAUGAAACAGCUGAAGUAUUUGGGAUUCAGUUCUAUUUUUGAACCACUAAGGUGUAGAUACAAAUCUUCAGAGUCAGAAACAUAAAAUGCAUUCCAUUAUGAGUAAAUUCAUUUCUACACACUACUUAAUGAGAAACAUUUAUCUCACAUAGAAGCAUCAUCUGCUGCUCUCCAGGUAAAUCCUAAUAGCAUUCACUGUUCCAUCUGUCUGCAUUUUACACUCAGAUUCUUGUUUUUCAUUAUAGCCAAGAUUUGAGAGGAUCAACAUGAUGCAUCUUUUCAUCCAGAGCAAGGGAAGAACCCAAAAGCUUCCUAACUACAAUAUUUUGAAGGUCAGUUGGUUUCUGUCCUAAUUUUCAUUGAAAGAAUCAAAAGCAUUUUAAAAGAUGAACCAGAAAGUGAUGGCAAGGAUCUCAGUGUUGAUCACCCCAUUGUGUCCUCAGGCCUGAGUUGUCCCCCUGUCUAAUCACUUUAUCUCUUAUCCUAGCCUGAGUGGAAGUGUGAGUGCACAGUGCACAGUGCAGAAAGCAGUCUUCUCACAGGACCACACAGUGUGCUUCUUAAAGUUGGUCAGAUCCAGCCCCUGAGGUUCUCUCAACUGCACAGGUUUCUGUUAAGGUGGAACAUUAAAGGAUGCUCUUGUCCUUAUGGUACCUGACUUUGGUCUUAGCUCUAAGUGAUCCCAAAUACUUUCAAAACAUAUGUGUACCAGAUGACUAGAGUUUCAGGAAAUGGGUAUGAAAUAUACAACAUAUACCCAGCAAGGAAAAUAAGUACUUCACCAUAACAAGAAUAGAUGAGAAAAUAUAUAAAGAACUAAAAGAGAUAAUUCACAGGUGGAGAUUCUAAUGUAAGAACAUACAGAAAAUAAAUUAAAUCACUUUCAGCUGAUACUUUCUUAUGUUUUUGUCAAUGAAAUCCUUGACUGUGAACUGAGAAUAUCUGUGGAACAUCCUUCACGGUGCAGCACUGAUCUCCCUGUUCAGUGGACAGUAGCAGAUGAUGGGGUUCACGAAUGGGGGCAUGGUUUCAUUGCAAUGGGACCUAAGUAGGUUAUUGCCCCCAAAAUGACCAACAGCAGAAGAAUGGCCAGCUGCAAAGUACAGAAGACAAUGAGUCAGAUCUCAGCAUGGAGACAGAUGGAAUGGUGACUGCUAUUGGGAUUUUCCUGGAGAGCAGCAGGUGAUGCUUACACUGAGUGGAACACUUUUCUCAUCAAAUGGAUUCACUCAAAAUGGAAGCUGUUUUAUUUUCCCCACUCCCAAGAGCUGAACCUUCAUUCUGGUGACUAAAGUACAUUAACAAAAUUCUAUUUCAGAACUGAAUCCAAACUUCCCUCCAUUUUCAUCUAGAAAGACUGUCUGGGAAAACCUCAGCCUGGAGGCUCUGGUGCCCAUUUAGCCCCAGUCCAGCACUGGAACAACAGGCACAUCAGGCUCCCUGCAUCUCUGUACUUAUUGCUUCUUGCAGAAGCAAGUGGUGUUUGGUGCCAUGAACCUCCUGUUAUCCAGAGCUCACAUCCUGGUGAAGGUCUGGAGAUGGCUUAUUCUCCUCUGCUGCCUGAGAUACCUCAACUUUCAAUGUUUCGUCAUGAGGAGGCUACAUCUGUUCUCCACCUUUAUCUAGUUAUAGGUGACAAUCACAAUGGUAUGUAAGGUACAAAGCUUAGUGUGAUUUCUGCAUUUGUAGAAAUAGUUGUUCCAAACAAGCUAACUAACAUACAACAUUUCUUUUCAAAAUAUGUCUGUGCCUACAUCAUUUUCAUAGCUGAUUUCAAGGCAAAAAAUCACUUUCAAAGUUUUAUUUAAGUAACUCUCUCACAAAGGUAGGGAGUUAACAAUUCUGAACCUUUUAAUGUUUUAUAUGAAUUAAGUUUCCCUGUUCUUUAUCUCGACCUAUAUUUAUAUGUAGACUUUCUGUCCAGGUUUUUAUUAAAAUAUUUGAAUGAAGUACUAGAUUAAUUUCUAGUCUCCAGUGUUAAUUUAUAAACCUGUGUCACUGUAGUUCUUCUUUGUGUUCACUUUCUACCUAGAACUUAUUUUUUAUUAAAGAAUUUAAGAAAUUCCAUUUUAAAUUUGCUUUAAUAUAUUUUCAGAUAAUG
Heterocephalus glaber (naked mole-rat) is the source of this 2669-nucleotide long non-coding RNA. NCBI's taxonomy places the organism in Eukaryota, Metazoa, Chordata, Mammalia, Rodentia, Bathyergidae. The record is from Ensembl.